UAGAUCUAAAGUUCUAUGGAUCAUAGGUGAUUAAGAAACCACCUAUGAUUAGGAUAUGUCUCUACAUCUUUAAUAUGCCAAUCUAAUAAUUAAGGAGUAAAAACUUGUAGAGAAAAUUAAUAGUAUUUUUUUUUAAAUAUUGAUUGAAGAGAUCUCAUGAGAGACACAUCAAAUAAGCCCUAGAGGAAUGAGUUCACUUCCC
This 202-nucleotide long non-coding RNA is filed under the name Elaeis guineensis (African oil palm). RNAcentral's name for it is "long non-coding RNA (EGUI_LNC057381)". Lineage: Eukaryota; Viridiplantae; Streptophyta; Magnoliopsida; Arecales; Arecaceae. The record is from RNAcentral.